RNAcentral lists this non-coding RNA (84 nucleotides) under Paenibacillus sp. RNAcentral describes it as "c-di-GMP-II sequence". It matches the Rfam family "Cyclic di-GMP-II riboswitch aptamer". Lineage: Bacteria; Bacillati; Bacillota; Bacilli; Caryophanales; Paenibacillaceae. The record is from RNAcentral. RNAcentral also lists the same sequence under 1 other name.
AAAGAUAAGGGAGACGUUGAAAUGCGCCUUGUAUCUGGGCACCUUAGGCGUAUGGAGUCAGUGGUGCAACCGCCCCGACGAUAU